RNAcentral lists this ribosomal RNA (496 nucleotides) under uncultured bacterium. RNAcentral describes it as "partial 16S ribosomal RNA". It matches the Rfam family "Bacterial small subunit ribosomal RNA", at positions 28 to 507 of the family's 1533-position model. The record is from RNAcentral.
GAUGAACGCUGGCGGCGUGCCUAAUACAUGCAAGUCGAGCGAACAGACGAGGAGCUUGCUCCUCUGACGUUAGCGGCGGACGGGUGAGUAACACGUGGAUAACCUACCUAUAAGACUGGGAUACUUCGGGAAACCGGAGCUAAUACCGGAUAAUAUAUUGAACCGCCUGGUUCAAUAGUGAAAGACGGUUUUGCUGUCACUUAUAGAUGGAUCCGCGCCGCAUUAGCUAGUUGGUAAGGUAACGGCUUACCAAGGCAACGAUGCGUAGCCGACCUGAGAGGGUGAUCGGCCACACUGGAACUGAGACACGGUCCAGACUCCUACGGGAGGCAGCAGUAGGGAAUCUUCCGCAAUGGGCGAAAGCCUGACGGAGCAACGCCGCGUGAGUGAUGAAGGUCUUCGGAUCGUAAAACUCUGUUAUUAGGGAAGAACAAAUGUGUAAGUAACUAUGCACGUCUUGACGGUACCUAAUCAGAAAGCCACGGCUAACUACGUG